GGGUUGUGAGGUUAAGCGACUAAGCGUACACGGUGGAUGCCCUGGCAGUCAGAGGCGAUGAAGGACGUGCUAAUCUGCGAUAAGCGUCGGUGAGGUGAUAUGAACCGUUAUAACCGGCGAUUUCCGAAUGGGGAAACCCAGUGUGUUUCGACACACUAUCAUUAACUGAAUCCAUAGGUUAAUGAGGCGAACCGGGGGAACUGAAACAUCUAAGUACCCCGAGGAAAAGAAAUCAACCGAGAUUCCCCCAGUAGCGGCGAGCGAACGGGGAGGAGCCCAGAGCCUGAAUCAGUGUGUGUGUUAGUGGAAGCGUCUGGAAAGGCGCGCGAUACAGGGUGACAGCCCCGUACACAAAAAUGCACAUACUGUGAGCUCGAUGAGUAGGGCGGGACACGUGGUAUCCUGUCUGAAUAUGGGGGGACCAUCCUCCAAGGCUAAAUACUCCUGACUGACCGAUAGUGAACCAGUACCGUGAGGGAAAGGCGAAAAGAACCCCGGCGAGGGGAGUGAAAAAGAACCUGAAACCGUGUACGUACAAGCAGUGGGAGCCUCUUAAUGGGGUGACUGCGUACCUUUUGUAUAAUGGGUCAGCGACUUAUAUUCUGUAGCAAGGUUAACCGAAUAGGGGAGCCGAAGGGAAACCGAGUCUUAACUGGGCGUUAAGUUGCAGGGUAUAGACCCGAAACCCGGUGAUCUAGCCAUGGGCAGGUUGAAGGUUGGGUAACACUAACUGGAGGACCGAACCGACUAAUGUUGAAAAAUUAGCGGAUGACUUGUGGCUGGGGGUGAAAGGCCAAUCAAACCGGGAGAUAGCUGGUUCUCCCCGAAAGCUAUUUAGGUAGCGCCUCGUGAAUUCAUCUCCGGGGGUAGAGCACUGUUUCGGCAAGGGGGUCAUCCCGACUUACCAACCCGAUGCAAACUGCGAAUACCGGAGAAUGUUAUCACGGGAGACACACGGCGGGUGCUAACGUCCGUCGUGAAGAGGGAAACAACCCAGACCGCCAGCUAAGGUCCCAAAGUCAUGGUUAAGUGGGAAACGAUGUGGGAAGGCCCAGACAGCCAGGAUGUUGGCUUAGAAGCAGCCAUCAUUUAAAGAAAGCGUAAUAGCUCACUGGUCGAGUCGGCCUGCGCGGAAGAUGUAACGGGGCUAAACCAUGCACCGAAGCUGCGGCAGCGACACUAUGUGUUGUUGGGUAGGGGAGCGUUCUGUAAGCCUGUGAAGGUGUACUGUGAGGUAUGCUGGAGGUAUCAGAAGUGCGAAUGCUGACAUAAGUAACGAUAAAGCGGGUGAAAAGCCCGCUCGCCGGAAGACCAAGGGUUCCUGUCCAACGUUAAUCGGGGCAGGGUGAGUCGACCCCUAAGGCGAGGCCGAAAGGCGUAGUCGAUGGGAAACAGGUUAAUAUUCCUGUACUUGGUGUUACUGCGAAGGGGGACGGAGAAGGCUAUGUUGGCCGGGCGACGGUUGUCCCGGUUUAAGCGUGUAGGCUGGUUUUCCAGGCAAAUCCGGAAAAUCAAGGCUGAGGCGUGAUGACGAGGCACUACGGUGCUGAAGCAACAAAUGCCCUGCUUCCAGGAAAAGCCUCUAAGCAUCAGGUAACAUCAAAUCGUACCCCAAACCGACACAGGUGGUCAGGUAGAGAAUACCAAGGCGCUUGAGAGAACUCGGGUGAAGGAACUAGGCAAAAUGGUGCCGUAACUUCGGGAGAAGGCACGCUGAUAUGUAGGUGAAGCGACUUGCUCGUGGAGCUGAAAUCAGUCGAAGAUACCAGCUGGCUGCAACUGUUUAUUAAAAACACAGCACUGUGCAAACACGAAAGUGGACGUAUACGGUGUGACGCCUGCCCGGUGCCGGAAGGUUAAUUGAUGGGGUUAGCGGUAACGCGAAGCUCUUGAUCGAAGCCCCGGUAAACGGCGGCCGUAACUAUAACGGUCCUAAGGUAGCGAAAUUCCUUGUCGGGUAAGUUCCGACCUGCACGAAUGGCGUAAUGAUGGCCAGGCUGUCUCCACCCGAGACUCAGUGAAAUUGAACUCGCUGUGAAGAUGCAGUGUACCCGCGGCAAGACGGAAAGACCCCGUGAACCUUUACUAUAGCUUGACACUGAACAUUGAGCCUUGAUGUGUAGGAUAGGUGGGAGGCUUUGAAGUGUGGACGCCAGUCUGCAUGGAGCCGGCCUUGAAAUACCACCCUUUAAUGUUUGAUGUUCUAACGUUGGCCCCUGACCGGGGUUGCGGACAGUGUCUGGUGGGUAGUUUGACUGGGGCGGUCUCCUCCUAAAGAGUAACGGAGGAGCACGAAGGUUGGCUAAUCCUGGUCGGACAUCAGGAGGUUAGUGCAAUGGCAUAAGCCAGCUUGACUGCGAGCGUGACGGCGCGAGCAGGUGCGAAAGCAGGUCAUAGUGAUCCGGUGGUUCUGAAUGGAAGGGCCAUCGCUCAACGGAUAAAAGGUACUCCGGGGAUAACAGGCUGAUACCGCCCAAGAGUUCAUAUCGACGGCGGUGUUUGGCACCUCGAUGUCGGCUCAUCACAUCCUGGGGCUGAAGUAGGUCCCAAGGGUAUGGCUGUUCGCCAUUUAAAGUGGUACGCGAGCUGGGUUUAGAACGUCGUGAGACAGUUCGGUCCCUAUCUGCCGUGGGCGCUGGAGAACUGAGGGGGCUGCUCCUAGUACGAGAGGACCGGAGUGGACGCAUCACUGGUGUUCGGGUUGUCAUGCCAAUGGCACUGCCCGGUAGCUAAAUGCGGAAGAGAUAAGUGCUGAAAGCAUCUAAGCACGAAACUUGCCCCGAGAUGAGUUCUCCCUGACUCCUUGAGAGUCCUGAAGGAACGUUGAAGACGACGACGUUGAUAGGCCGGGUGUGUAAGCGCAGCGAUGCGUUGAGCUAACCGGUACUAAUGAACCGUGAGGCUUAACCUUACAACGCCGAAG
RNAcentral lists this ribosomal RNA (2923 nucleotides) under Escherichia coli. RNAcentral describes it as "bacterial LSU rRNA". It matches the Rfam family "Bacterial large subunit ribosomal RNA". The record is from RNAcentral. Lineage: Bacteria; Pseudomonadati; Pseudomonadota; Gammaproteobacteria; Enterobacterales; Enterobacteriaceae.